UACGUAGGGGGCAAGCGUUAUCCGGAAUCACUGGGCGUAAAGGGUGCGUAGGCGGCCAAUCAAGUCUGGGGUGAAAGGCUACGGCUUAACCGUAGUAAGCCUUGGAAACUGGUUGGCUUGAGUGCAGGAGAGGAGAGUGGAAUUCCUAGUGUAGCGGUGAAAUGCGUAGAUAUUAGGAGGAACACCAGUGGCGAAGGCGACUCUCUGGACUGUAACUGACGCUGAGGCACGAAAGCGUGGGGAGCAAACAGG
Molecule: ribosomal RNA, 252 nt
Filed under: uncultured bacterium
Lineage: Bacteria
Description: partial 16S ribosomal RNA
Rfam family: Bacterial small subunit ribosomal RNA
Source: RNAcentral